Nyctereutes procyonoides (raccoon dog) is the source of this 321-nucleotide non-coding RNA. The record is from the annotation of a RefSeq genome assembly. NCBI's taxonomy places the organism in Eukaryota, Metazoa, Chordata, Mammalia, Carnivora, Canidae.
AUGGCCUGGAUGGUGCUUCUUCUCGAGCUCCUUGCUUAUGGCUCAGGAGUUUAUUCUCAGAUUGUGGUGACCCAGGAGCCAUCCCUGUCAGUGUCUACGGGAGGGACAGUCACACUCACUUGUGGCCUCAGCUCUGGGUCAGUCACUACAAGUAAUUACCCCAGCUGGUCUCAGCAGACUCCAGGGCGGGCUCCUUGCACGAUUAUCUAUGACACAAACAGCCGCCCCUCUGUGGUCCUUGAUCGCUUCUCUGGAUCCAUCUCUGGGAACAAAGCCGCCCUCACCAUCACAGGAGCCCAGCCUGAGGACGAGGCUGACUAA